UUGUUGCUGGAGAUUAACCAGAUAAUAUUUUCGUGUGUGAACCCUGUGGUAUUACUUUGUCAAAUAAGAAAGAUAUUGUGCUUAUAUUACUGAAACAUAACAUCUAAAUUAUUAAUAAUUAAUUAAUAUACAUUCUACAGUUAUUUUUUAUUUUAUUUUAUUUUAUUUUAUUUUUAAUAAAUUUCCCACAGAUGUCAGGUAACUACAGGUGUAGCUCAUCACAUCAACUGUGGACAUGAUUCAUUAACAUUUGUUGUCAUUUUUUUACCUCAACCACACCAUACCACAUUUUUUUAAUUUAUUUAUUUAUUUUUUUUCAGCGUAUGGAAAACAGGAGCAUGAACAGCAUUAUUCCUUUCUCACUGGAGAAAGAACAUCUUCCAGAUUUUGGAGCCACAUGAUGUCUGCAGCCUGGGAAAAGCCGCAGCGACACGGCAAACUGUCACUGGCUGGCUGAGGGGGGAGCGCUCUGAGAACAUGAAAGACAAACAACCGCGGUCUGCCGCUGCACCGCUGUCGCCAGGCCUGCCCGUCUGUCUGUGGGGAUCGGAGGUCGGGAGCUGGUGCUGCCGUUGCUGCUGCAGUGGGAGGCCAAUUUCUGGGUGAUCUGAGCUGCGCUGUUUGGUUUAGCCUGACCAGCAGGUCUGGGAACAGCCUGACUGCAGCUUUCACUGGUAAAUAAAGCUGGUCUUCUCCCAGACUGGUUUAGAGAGGUUUUUGCUUUUAGCUUUCAGCUUUCAGAUGGGAGACCAGAGGCGAUCUUAAACAUACUAACACCAACCAUCUUUUUUGUCAGCAGGGUUGGACCAUCAAUAUGCACAUUCAGGCAGCUAAGAUGUAGAUGAGGUUGUUUCUUCAUCAGAACAGAUUUGGAGAAAUUUAGCAUUAUGUAACUUGCUCAUUAAUGGAUCCUCAGCAUUGAAUGGGUGCCGUCAAAAUGAAAGUCCAAACAGCUGAUACAAACAUCACAAUAAUCCACACCCAAUCCAAACUGAUGUAUCUGACUAAAAUACGAGUCCUCUAUCCAUACUUUAUGUGACGAGUGGGGCGGGGCCGAGAGCCGUGGGAACGCAGCGAGGCCGGUGGAGUGAUUGGGAAAUGAUAUAUCCUCGGAUAUCGUCCUCUUUUGGAAGGCCAAAC
Cyprinus carpio carpio is the source of this 1140-nucleotide long non-coding RNA. NCBI's taxonomy places the organism in Eukaryota, Metazoa, Chordata, Actinopteri, Cypriniformes, Cyprinidae. The record is from Ensembl.